CUGGCUCAGGAUGAACGCUGGCGGCGUGCCUAACACAUGCAAGUCGAACGAAGCACCUUUCACGAUCCCUCGGGGUGACGAGAUUGUGACUGAGUGGCGGACGGGUGAGUAACGCGUGGGGAACCUGCCCUGUACUGGGGGAUAGCGACUGGAAACGGUCGAUAAUACCGCAUAAGCGCACAGCAUCACAUGAUGCAGUGUGAAAAACUCCGGUGGUACAGGAUGGCCCCCGCGUCUGAUUAGUUAGUUGGUGAGGUAACGGCUCACCAAGACGAAGAUCAGUAGCCGACCUGAGAGGGUGACCGGCCACAUUGGGACUGAGACACGGCCCAGACUCCUACGGGAGGCAGCAGUGGGGGAUAUUGCACAAUGGGCGAAAGCCUGAUGCAGCCGACGCCGCGUGAGUGAUGAAGUAUUUCGGUAUGUAAAGCUCUAUCAGCAGGGAAGAAAAUGACGGUACCUGACUAAGAAGCUCCGGCUAAAUACGUGCCAGCAGCCGC
This 500-nucleotide ribosomal RNA is filed under the name uncultured bacterium. RNAcentral's name for it is "bacterial SSU rRNA". It matches the Rfam family "Bacterial small subunit ribosomal RNA", at positions 19 to 518 of the family's 1533-position model. The record is from RNAcentral.